RNAcentral lists this long non-coding RNA (1930 nucleotides) under Ananas comosus (pineapple). Its description in RNAcentral is "long non-coding RNA (ACOM_LNC019547)". Lineage: Eukaryota; Viridiplantae; Streptophyta; Magnoliopsida; Poales; Bromeliaceae. The record is from RNAcentral.
UUUAACUUGUCGCUCACUCCGUUAAUAUUUCGUUAAAUUAUAUACAAAAAACUUCAGAUACUCCACCUAGGUUUAUCGAAUAUUUACUUUAGUACUCUUUAGUUUUAACUUUAUCACUGAUUUAAUGAAAAAAAAAUUAGUGGAAUCGAUAAUAAAAAAAUAAAAAUGAAACCACCGGACACUAAAUUGAUACAAUUUAAAUCACAAGGUAAUAAAGUGAGAAAGUAUGAAACCACAGAGAUGGUAUUUGAAGUUUUUUUUUUAUAUAUAAUUUGAAUAUAUUGUAUUUUCUAAAAGAAAAAAAUAAAAAUACACUGUACUUUUAUUCGAAUUUUAGAAAAGACUCAACCUAAACAAAUUUGUUGGUCAAUACUAGUUAGAGUGCACAUGAGAAAAUCUCCAGUGAUAUAAUAUAUCUGCAGUUUUAUUAGAAUUUAGUUAUUAUUCUUUUUCCUGAUUGAGGCGAGGUGAGUAGUCCAUCACCAUGACGAGAAUCAGUCGGCACAAUGAGUUAGUCUGUUGUGAGAGUUUAUAUAUUUAUAUAUAUAUAUAUAGAGAGAGAGAGAGAGAGAGAGAGCUAGAAUACUUUCAAAAGUACCAAGGGAGUGGUGUUUUUGUGUUUUUAGCCAUUAAAUGGAAAGAUGUAGGAUUAAGAUGAUGGUGGUAGGUGGUGGUAGCUAGGUGGAAUAGUGUUAGAUCCAAAGACUAUUAGUAAUCAAGGACUAGAUCCAAUGGCUAAAACUCAAAAGCAUCACCCUAUUGGUGCUUUUGAGAGUAUUCUAGCUCAACUCUAUAUAUAUAUAUAUAUAUAUAUAUAUAUAGAGAGAGAGAGAGAGAGAGAGAGAGAGAGAGAGAUAGUUGGGCUAGAAUACUAUUAAUAGUAUUUGUUUUUUUUUUUUACUAUCAAGUUUUUAGCCUUUGUGUCGGAUUGUUGGUGCUAACCAUUAAUCUCAAAAGCUCGAGCUGUUAAAAAUACAUAACCAAUUCACUUAAAGCAUACGGAUAAAUCCCACCCCUUGUAAUAUACUAGCGUAGUAACCCAAUCAAUGCGACGAAUAGAUAAUUGAAGAAAAUAUAUAAAAUAUCGAUAAAAAAAAGAAAACAACAAUAAAAAAUUGUGAUGAUAAGGGGUGGGAUUUUUCUUGUCGUUCACUCUGUUAAUAUUUCGUUAAAUUAUAUACAAAAAACUUCAGAUAUUCCACCUAGAUUUAUCGAAUAUUUACUUUAGUACUCUUUAGUUUUAACUUUAUCACUGAUUUAAUGAAAAAAAAAAUUUAGUGGAAUCGAUAAUAAAAAGAUAAAAAUGAAACCACCGGACACUAAAUUGAUACACUUUAAAUCACAAGGUAAUAAAGUGAGAAAGUAUGAAACCACAAAGAUGGUAUUUGAAGUUUUUUUAUAUAUAUAAUUUGAAUACAUUGUAUUUUCUAAAACAAAAAAAUAAAAAUACACUGUACUUUUAUUCGAAUUUUAGAAAAGACUCAACCUAAACAAAUUUGCUGGUCAAUACUGAAGGAUCAAAUGGCAACUAAGAGGGGGGUGAAUUAGUUGACAACUAAAAACUCAAGUAAAAUUAAAUCCAGAUAAAAAUUGCACAACCAAAUAAAAGAAAAAAAAUCAAACUCAGAUAACACAGAUGAUUUAUUCUGGUUCGGCCCUUCUGCCUACUCCAGCCUGGUCCUUCUUCUCCUCGAGGUACCGAUUUCACUAUCACUUGGCCUUUUGAAUAGGGUAAGACCAAAGCCGCUUACAAUCACACAAAACUUCUUUUACAAUCUCUCAAGAAGCUCACAAUUACAAAUCAAUGAACAAUUAGGACUUAGAGAAUUUUUUUAAAGUUGUAUACAAACAACAUCCAAGCCUUCCUUUAAAUACACUAGCCAUCAUUUCAAAAAUGAAACAAAAGCAUAAUUAAAUCAUAAUUGAUUUU